This is a long non-coding RNA of Papaver somniferum (opium poppy), 401 nucleotides long. RefSeq lists it as uncharacterized. The transcript is spliced from 3 exons. The record is from RefSeq and is a predicted model, not a curated record. Lineage: Eukaryota; Viridiplantae; Streptophyta; Magnoliopsida; Ranunculales; Papaveraceae.
ACCGUAUUACUUCGUCUGUCUCUUCGUUUUUAAUUCCGGUGUGAAGAAAAUUAGAAGAACAAUUCCGGUGGUAAGUAAUUUUUAAUUUUUUGAUUUUAAUUUUUGUAUGCAUGUCUGUGAAUCUGUGAUUGAGAUUAACGGAUUUUUGUUUUCUCUAGCGAGUAGCGGCUUAAAGGAUUUUCUUCAUCUCCCACCAAACCUUCAUAGCGAGUAGCGGCUUAAAGGAUUCACUGCAAUCACCGCCAAAGAUUGAGACCAAUUGAGAGCAAUUGCCUGACAAGUAAAAUCAAGGUACAUUAUCAAAGGCAGGAGCCGCAGGACUGCAUCAAUUGCACAAGGAAGUGCCAACUUUGUCAGUGAUGGAAAUAUGGCGUCAUUUCACUCGGAGAAAUGUUGAAGAA